Sus scrofa (pig) is the source of this 7020-nucleotide non-coding RNA. Lineage: Eukaryota; Metazoa; Chordata; Mammalia; Artiodactyla; Suidae. The record is from RefSeq and is a predicted model, not a curated record.
GAAGUAGAGACGACACUUCCUCUUCUUUCGAAAGAGAUUUUCUCUCUGGCCAGCUUCUUAUGGUAGUCCUGGGUAGCCUGACUGCCCGAGCUGUGGCUGUUUACGGUGGAACCCUCAAGUGUGGCCUCCAAGUGUUAAGAGCUUUCUGAAUUCAAGGGAUUAAACAACCUGUGCUUGGAUUUACUCUCUUUAUUGCAUACGCAGGGCAACAGAGGACCUGCUUAUACUGUGAUGUGACCUCUGGUCCUGAGUGAGCAGAUCAUUGUGCCAGCUCAGGAGCAACAGAACCAGAACGAGGAAACUCACAGCUUUUUGCUUGCUGCAGAAUACAAGGGAAGCAUUCUUUUCACAGUUAUCACUCAAGAAUUCAUCCUUUUGUGAUUCCAUGGAUAUAACUGAAAUUCUGGUAAUUUUUCAGAAAACAUUAAUAUAUUAAUUUAAGUGCUCCUAUUUAUGUAUGAGCCAAAAAACAAUAGUAAUAAUAACCACUUUUCGCCCCAGUGUGUCCUUUGACCAAUUUCAAUUAUCUUGCAGCUGACUCGUAACCUGUUGAAUCACCGUCAUCCUUUCUGAUGACCACUGGCCUUCUCUUUUUCUUUCCGUAGUUGUUAAAACCCAGUGUCCUGGUUGUCCAACUUACUGAAGCACAAAAAUUACUUUUGUUGCCUUCUUCGGUGUUCAGAUGUUUUCAAAUAUAUAAAUUACUAUUGUUCCAACAUGUGUGUACUAAAGAUUUUCAUUUACUGAUGUGGUGGAUUAUAUAACUCAGCCAAUAAGAUUCCUAGGUUGCCUUCUAUGGUAAAGAAUGCUUUAUCAACCCUAACAUCUGACGUUUCAUUGAGAAAUUUAAGGUAGCCCUUUUCAUCCUUGCACUUUUCAUGGACGGUUUACGAAACUGGUUAUACUAAGGAAUUGACAAAAUUGGGUAGAUCUUUACCAUCUUCGAAAGUUGUCAAGUAAUUUUCUAGUAAAACAUUUCUGAUCCUUAGUUUAGGAUUCCCCCAUCAAGAUGUGUAUCUAUCUAGAAAGAGCCUUAUUUAUUUAUCAGAAAACGGUGUGUUGUAAGGGAACCCUGAACUAGUAAACACUGAAUUAAAUAAACUCCAUGGUCUUUUAUAACAUACAAAACUUGGUAUUUCUUAUGUAAGAUGAUUCUCAGCUAUGCAACCCAUGACCAAAUUAGAGUCUUUGAGUCUUCACAGAGACAGAGUUAGUGGUAAAGAGGGCAGUCUCUGAAUUUAGGUGGCCUGGGUUUGAUUCUUGUCUCUUACACUUACUAGCUAUGUCACUUUGGUCAUGUUACUUAAUCUUUGCCUCACUUUCUUCAUUUGUUGAAUGGAGAUGGUAAUAGUAUCUAAUAAAGCUGCUAUGAGAUUUUAAUGCUUUGAUAUGAAUACAGUUCUUAGAACCAUAUUUGGUACACAGUUUGGCACUCAAUAAAUAUCAGUUUUGAUGGUGAUGGAUGAAUGAUAUUGUCAUCAGCUGGGGCAUUUGUGCCUCUUAGAGAGUUUUCUAUAUUUUUCAAUAAUCCCCUAAGAGUGGCGUGCAUCUGAUUGUGAUUUCUAAGAAUUUCCAGCAACUUAUUUCUUCAAGAAUCCUGAUAUACUAUCUCUGUUCCACCUGAAGCCGACAUGAAGAUAAAGCUCAAAUGCUUUUUUGCUUCUUAGUUGUACCAACAUUAUAGAAGCAAUAGACAUCACCUCUGUAAGACGGCUUUCCUCACUCCCCAGGCUCCAUUUCCCAAUUUCCUCGCAUUGCUUCAUGCAGGCGGACCUGCAUACAUUCAAAUAGCUCUGGAUCUCAGAUUUCAUUACAAAGAGCCUUAUUUUGAUACUUUCUAGCCAAGCAAGACAUUUACCUAAAAUAAAGUCUUGAACCAGCUACUAGGAUAAUAAAAUGUCCUCCAAUUUAAUGCAAAAGCAUAUUAAUAAUUUUAAUCUUUAUCAUUGUCAUUAAUCAACAGUAAAGGACUAUUGCUAAUAUAGUCACUUUGAUAUAGAUGUAGUCACUUUUUUGAUAUAUUAUAGAUAUAUAGCAUAGAGUCCAAGUGUGUGUAGUGGGAAUAAAUUGCUAAUAUAGUCAUUUUGAUAUAUUAUAUAUAUAUAGUAUAGAGUCCAAGUGUGUGUAGUGGGAGUAAGUAGUUCAUAAUUAAUUCUCAUUCACAUAUGCAUAGAUUUCUGGCCCCAUGAUUAUUUUGAGUUCUUCAUAGAUUUAAUAAUUUUUUACCUUUAUAUUGUAGCAAAACACACAUAGCCAUAAAAUUUACCAUCUGAACCAUUUUAAGCUUACAGUUCAGUGGUGUUAAAUACAUUCAUAUUAUUGUACAACCAUCACCACCAUCAUUCCCUACUAUUCCUUUCAUCUUGUAGAACUGAAAUUGUAUGCUCAUUAAACAAUAAUACUCCUUUCUUCCCUCUCACCUGCCCUUGGCAGCUACCGUUAUAUGAUUUUUAGUACCCUAAAUAUUUCAUAUAAGUGGAAUCAUACAGUAUGGCUUGUUUCACUUAGCGUAAUGUCCUCACAGUUUAUGUUGUAGCAUAUUAUAGAAUUUCCUUCCCUUCCUUCUUUAAGGCUGAAUAAUAUUCCACAUUUUGCCUAUCCAUUCCUCUGUUGAUGGGUUGUGUCCAUGUUUUAGCUAUUGUGAAUAAGGCUUCCUUGAAAAUGGAUGUACACAUAUUUCUUUGAGGCCCUGAUUUCAGUUCUUUGGGAUACAUGCCCAGAAGUCAAGUUGACGGAUCAUAUGGUAAUUCCAUAUUUAUUUGAGGAAUUGCCAUACUGUUUUCCACAGUGACUAUAUCAUUUUACAUUUUCGCCAACAGUCUUCACAGAGUUCUUAAGUACAGAAUGCUCAUCUAAUUAUUUUGACAUAUUCCUAUUGGGAAGUGAAUAUCAUGAAGUUUUAUUUGAAUACACGUUGAACACAAGGCUAUACUAUAUUUUUUUCCUGUUCUUUUUUUUUUUUUUUCCUUGGGGCGCCUAGGAGUGUUAUGGUCUAAGACCUACUUAAUGUUAAUUUAUGUUGCCAGGUGAUUCAGAGUGUCAGUGGAGUUUUUCCAGAACAGAAAUAUGUGGGGCCAAGUCUCAAACUUCUAAUGGAAAAACAACUUGGACUCCAAGGAUUUCUUGGCUUGUUUUAAAAUAAACUCUACGUUAAAAUCUUGUGUUCUGGUAGCAAAGGAGUAGAUGACCACAUGCUUUCUUUUUGAAGGCUCGUAAUUUUUUUUUGCACAAAAUAUACCAAUGUGAACAGGAGUGGGGACAACCUGAUUACAAAAAAAGAAUUGGCUAGCUGGAGAAUUACUUCCAUAUAUAUUUUAUAUCUAUCUAUCUAUAUAUAUAUAUAGAACAAAGAUUAUUCUUUGAGACAGAUCUGUAAGGUUUUCAAAUUAUUGACAGGAAAGCUUCACACUUGGGCCAUUAUUUUACCUCAUUAAUAAUAUUUGUGCUUUUUUCAAUUUUGAUUAAAAAUAUACAUAAAAAAUUGAUUUCUAAGGGACAGAAUCUUAUUUCAAAACUGAAAUGUAUUAGCUGAAUUUUGGACAAUUUUGAGGUUAUUUGCACAAAUUAAAGGGGCAUUUUUCCAGAAAAUUUUCUGCAUUUACUGUUUGCAGACAGUGAGGAAAAGGGGAGGAGAGAAAUACGCUUAUCCAGGGAGCAAGAGAUUUCUCUCUGUCAGACAUUUCAUUUUCCCUUAGUUUAUUGUCCUCAGUAGAAACAUCAAUGUCUUUCCCAAUAAAAUCACCUCCACUACAGUGUUUAAGAAAGACGUGAACUACCCUGGGUCUGUGUCAAUUCAACUUAACAAGAGAAAAAUUUAAACGUAACUGCAAUAAAAUUUGAAAAGACUCCUGUUAAUGAUUUGUGAGGCAAAAGUAACCCUUAUGAGGCUAGGCGAGGCUACGCUGGGGUAGCAAAUUAACCCUGAAAUCUCCGUGGCUUAACACAGGCACCAUUUUUCUUAUUUACACUCUACGUUCAAAGCUGAUUGACAUGAGAAGGGAAGGGCUCCUCCAUGCCACACAGUCACUCAGAGUAAAGCACCACCAUCCUGUGGCAUCACCAUGGCAACAGGGGCAUCAGGGUUUGCUGUGGCAGGAAUGAAGUAUGGAGGAUGCAUACUCUUCUCCAGACUGAAGGCCUUGCAACACCUCCACCCAGAGCCUACUGCCCAGCAGUAGCCAUAUGGCCUCUCCUAACCACAGGGCGCUGGAGGUGUUCCUGGGGCCCUGGCAGGAGGGGAAAACUAGAUAGAGUGAGCACCAGUAAUUUCUUCUUUGAUAAAUUUUGCUGGUAAUUCUCAUAUGAGGCCCCCAUAUGAAACAAGGAGAAAUUUCCUUCCUGUAUCGUUCACAUUUAUAAUUCUUUACAUUUUAAUAUGUAGAUAAGCAAUUUUAACCUUUUAAAAUUAAUUUCACUUUUUUGGUAAUUGGUAACUUUAGGUAAGAAUAAAUAAAACAAGAAUUACUGAGGAGGAAUUAGUUAGGAUAUAGAUAUCAUCAACAAUAGAAAAAAAAAGCCCUCAAAUAUUUAGGUAUCUAUAGAUUCUUAUUUGUAUUAGUAGUAGUAGCUACUAUUUCUUUUUCUUCUCGAUUAAACUGUAACUUGAAAUUAAAUGUAACUCUAAAUACAGGGAGGCUUGAUUGCAAAAUCCGUUCAUGGGAUAUUGAGCUAGGAAUAUGAAACUAAGGACAGUUUUAGUAGAUGGUCUUUCAUAAGUUCUUUUUUAAAAAAUAUGAUCAGCUUUCUCUGAAUCUUAAUCUCAUGUUUUUCUUCUUAAAUCUCCUUUUCACUUUAUUGGAGUAUUUUACCAAGAACUAUCUUUAUACAGGAUACAUGGGGAAUAAGCAUGUCUCAGCAUGUAUUUUGACCUCACAAUUGAUUGCGUGUUUGACUGGAUAUUGAAUUUUAUGUAGAGAAUUAAUUUUCGUCUAGAACUUCCAAGGCAUUUCGCCAACAUCCUUGUACAUCUCACGUUGCACAUGAGAAAUUUGUCACUCUUACUCUUGUUUCUUUGUGGAUAAUACCUAUUUAACCUGUCCAUAAAUUUUUAUAAUUCUUUGUAUACUUUUGAAAUUCUAAAAUUUCACAAGACAUAUUCAAGCGUGCAGUUUUUCAAAUAUGUCUGAUUCAGCAUUUUGUGGGAUGGGAAGUUUUCCUUUUUCCCCCUCUGUCUGGGCUCUUCUCACUGGUUCGGUUUCAUUCUCUAGUCUCUCCACCAAGUAACCAACAUGGCCACAGCUAAUUCCAGGUUUGUACUGCAUUUAUGACUAAAAUCCCAGAGAAAAGGAUGAAACUUUGUCCUAAUUCUCCAGGCAGAAUUUUCCCAUGAGCCUGAUUUGGUUCAUGUACUCCUUUCUGAAUUGGUCACUGUGUCAAAGAAGACAAGUACUUUGGUCCACCUACUUCUUUUUUAAAAAAUUUAAUUUAAUUUUUUGGGCCACGCCCAUGGCAUGCUGAAGUUCUUGGCCAGGCAUCGAACCCUCUACUUCUCUAAUCACCUCUACUGAUAACGGCUCUGGCUCAAGACAUUCUUACAUCUUUGGAUGACUGCGGGAGCCUCUUAACUGGUUUCUCAAUGUAUAUCCUUGUUCAAUCAAUCUAUUUAUCUAUCUGUUUAUUUAUAUGGAAGUUCCCUGGCCAGGGAUUGAAUCCAAGCUGCAGCUGCAACCUCCUCUGCAGGUGCGGGCAUACCAGAUCUUUUAACCCACUGUGCUGGGGUGGAACCUAUAACUCGGCAGCAACCUGAGCCACUGCAGUCGGAAUCUUAACCCACUACACCACAGCAGGAACUCCUUGUUCGGUCAUUUUAAAUGCUAGAGCCAGAGCUGUUAGUGUGUUUGUCAGAUCAAAAUCUUAUAAAGCUUGCCUGUUCCACUUCAAAGACAGCUAGGGCUGAUCUUCAAACAUUGCCUAAAAGACCAUCUAGAGCUACACGAUCUGACCUCCCACGACCCUCUGACCUCAUCUACUGCCACCCUCUUUCUACGGCUCCUUCAGCCUCAGCCAUGCUGGCCUCUGAGCCACGCGUUACACCUGCCAGACACAUCGCCUAUCCCAGUCUGGGGCCUCCCCUUGGCCAUUCUCUAAACCUGGGCUGCUCCACUCUGUGACAGUCAUAGGCUGCUUCUUCAUCUCUUUCAGGUCUUAACUCAAAUGUCAACUAUGUAGUGAGACCAUUUCUAUUUAAAAAUCACAACUCUUUAUAACACUCUCGCCUACAUUUUAUUUUUCGCCAUUUAUCUCCAUAUUAUCUCUAAUAUACCAUUUAUUUUACUUACUUAUCCUGUUCAUUGUCUCUCCCCAUGAAAUGUAGACCCCUUGGUUGCAGGAGGUUUUUAAUCUGUUGUGUUCAGUAUUGUAUCUUCAGGCUAUAAAAUUGUGCCUGGCACCUAGUCAGCCAGUACAUACUCGACGAAUGAAUGAAUGAUUGGCAAACCUACGCCAGGAGCUGGCUCCUGUUUUGUGGAUGUGGGGCCGUAUGAUUGACAGUGCCCACAAGGGAGAGAAGAGGCAUUCCUCAAAGAAAAAGGAGCUAGUCAGACAAACAUUAAUAAAUAGCCAAUAAAAUAUCCUUCUAUUGAGCUUUGAGAAAUGGGGGUCUGUUUUAAAAGAGCCUAAGAUUAAUAGCUGAAAGAAAGCAGCAGAUCUGAAAUCUGACAGUAAUUUUUCAAUUUGUUUGAUGAGUUUUGUGUGUGUAUAAUUUCUGUAUGUGUUAUAAUUAGUCUUUAAUGUUAGGUAAUUUUGUCUGGGAAAAUUAUGGGGAGAAUAAUUUUAUCUGAUUUUAUGGAUAAUUUAUUUCAUUUUCAAUUAGAUUCUUACUCUCAGUGAUCAAUGUGCCAAAAAAUAAAUUAGACUUUGGUAAAGAAUAUUUUAUUUCUUUCAGAAAAGGCAGGUUGCAAAAUGGAUAAUUGCAUAAUCUCUCUAUAUGAUAUUUUUCUUAGCUAUUUGCCUGUAUGCAAAUGAAUUUUUCUUUUAGGACCACACCUGUGGUAUAUGGAGGUUCCCAGGCUAGGGGUUGAA